This 482-nucleotide ribosomal RNA is filed under the name uncultured bacterium. Its description in RNAcentral is "bacterial SSU rRNA". It matches the Rfam family "Bacterial small subunit ribosomal RNA", at positions 28 to 507 of the family's 1533-position model. The record is from RNAcentral.
GACGAACGCUGGCGGCGUGCUUAACACAUGCAAGUCGAACGGAGCGCCUAUGACAGAGACUUCGGUCAAUGGAUUAGGUUGCUUAGUGGCGGACUGGUGAGUAACGCGUGAGGAACCUGCCUUUCAGAGGGGGACAACAGUUGGAAACGACUGCUAAUACCGCAUGAUACAUUUGGCGGCAUCGCUUGGAUGUCAAAGAUUUUAUCGCUGAAAGAUGGCCUCGCGUCUGAUUAGAUAGUUGGCGGGGUAACGGCCCACCAAGUCGACGAUCAGUAGCCGGACUGAGAGGUUGACCGGCACAUUGGGACUGAGAUACGGCCCAGACUCCUACGGGAGGCAGCAGUGGGGAAUAUUGGGCAAUGGACGCAAGUCUGACCCAGCAACGCCGCGUGAAGGAAGAAAGGCUUUCGGGUUGUAAACUUCUUUUAAGAGGGAACGAGAAGAAGAGGGUACCUCUUGAAUAAGCCACGGCUAACUACGUG